Molecule: ribosomal RNA, 484 nt
Filed under: uncultured bacterium
Lineage: Bacteria
Description: partial 16S ribosomal RNA
Rfam family: Bacterial small subunit ribosomal RNA
Source: RNAcentral
AGUGAACGCUGGCGGCGUGCUUAACACAUGCAAGUCGAACGAGAACGGGUUAUAGCUUGCUAUAAUUGUCAGCUAAGUGGCGCACGGGUGAGUAAUGUAUAGGUAAUAUGCCUCUUACUAAGGGAUAACAAUUGGAAACGAUUGCUAAUACCUUAUACUCCUUAUUAACAGAAGUUAAUAAGGGAAAGAUUUAUUGGUAAGAGAUUAGCCUGUAUUGUAUCAGUUAGUUGGUGGGGUAAUGGCUUACCAAGACUAUGACACAUAACUGGUUUGAGAGGAUGAUCAGUCACACUGGAACUGAGACACGGUCCAGACUCCUACGGGAGGCAGCAGUGGGGAAUAUUGCACAAUGGACGAAGGUCUGAUGCAGCAACGCCGCGUGGAGGAUGACACAUUUCGGUGCGUAAACUCCUUUUAUAUGAGAAGAUAAUGACGGUAUUAUAUGAAUAAGCACCGGCUAACUCCGUGCCAGCAGCCGCGGUAA